Molecule: ribosomal RNA, 468 nt
Filed under: uncultured bacterium
Lineage: Bacteria
Description: partial 16S ribosomal RNA
Rfam family: Bacterial small subunit ribosomal RNA
Source: RNAcentral
GACGAACGCUGGCGGCGUGCUUAACACAUGCAAGUCGAACGGAAAGGCCCUGCUUUUGUGGGGUGCUCGAGUGGCGAACGGGUGAGUAACACGUGAGUAACCUGCCCUUGACUUUGGGAUAACUUCAGGAAACUGGGGCUAAUACCGGAUAGGAGCUCCUGCUGCAUGGUGGGGGUUGGAAAGUUUCGGCGGGUGGGGAUGGACUCGCGGCUUAUCAGCUUGUUGGUGGGGUAGUGGCUUACCGAGGCUUUGACGGGUAGCCGGCCUGAGAGGGUGAACGGCCACAUUGGGACUGAGGUACGGCCCAGACUCCUACGGGAGGCAGCAGUGGGGAAUAUUGCACAAUGGGCGGAAGCCUGAUGCAGCAACGCCGCGUGCGGGAUGACGGCCUUCGGGUUGUAAACCGCUUUCGCCUGUGACGAAGCGUGAGUGACGGUAAUGGGUAAAGAAGCACCGGCUAACUACGUG